This 468-nucleotide ribosomal RNA is filed under the name uncultured bacterium. Its description in RNAcentral is "partial 16S ribosomal RNA". It matches the Rfam family "Bacterial small subunit ribosomal RNA", at positions 28 to 507 of the family's 1533-position model. The record is from RNAcentral.
GACGAACGCUGGCGGCGUGCUUAACACAUGCAAGUCGGACGGAAAGGCCCUGCUUUUGUGGGGUGCUCGAGUGGCGAACGGGUGAGUAACACGUGAGUAACCUGCCCUUGACUUUGGGAUAACUUCAGGAAACUGGGGCUAAUACCGGAUAGGAGCUCCUGCUGCAUGGUGGGGGUUGGAAAGUUUCGGCGGUUGGGGAUGGACUCGCGGCUUAUCAGCUUGUUGGUGGGGUAGUGGCUUACCAAGGCUUUGACGGGUAGCCGGCCUGAGAGGGUGACCGGUCACAUUGGGACUGAGAUACGGCCCAGACUCCUACGGGAGGCAGCAGUGGGGAAUAUUGCACAAUGGGCGGAAGCCUGAUGCAGCAACGCCGCGUGCGGGAUGACGGCCUUCGGGUUGUAAACCGCUUUCGCCUGUGACGAAGCGUGAGUGACGGUAAUGGGUAAAGAAGCACCGGCUAACUACGUG